UAAAGAUUCAUCGCUGAUAGAUAGGCAUGCGUUCCAUUAGGCAGUUGGCGGGGUAACGGCCCACCAAACCGACGAUGGAUGGGGGUUCUGAGAGGAAGGUCCCCCACAUUGGUACUGAGACGCGGACCAAACUCCUACGGGAGGCAGCAGUGAGGAAUAUUGGUCAAUGGGCGUAAGCCUGAACCAGCCAAGUCGCGUGAGGGAUGAAGGUUCUAUGGAUCGUAAACCUCUUUUAUAAGGGAAUAAAGUGCGGGACGUGUCCCGUUUUGUAUGUACCUUAUGAAUAAGGAUCGGCUAACUCCGUGCCAGCAGCCGCGGUAAUACGGAGGAUCCGAGCGUUAUCCGGAUUUAUUGGGUUUAAAGGGUGCGUAGGCGGCCUUUUAAGUCAGCGGUGAAAGUCUGUGGCUCAACCAUAGAAUUGCCGUUGAAACUGGGAGGCUUGAGUAUGUUUGAGGCAGGCGGAAUGCGUGGUGUAGCGGUGAAAUGCUUAGAUAUCACGCAGAACCCCGAUUGCGAAGGCAGCCUGCCAAGCCAUGACUGACGCUGAUGCACGAAAGCGUGGGGAUCAAACAGGAUUAGAUACCCUGGUAGUCCACGC
RNAcentral lists this ribosomal RNA (598 nucleotides) under uncultured bacterium. RNAcentral's name for it is "bacterial SSU rRNA". It matches the Rfam family "Bacterial small subunit ribosomal RNA", at positions 202 to 800 of the family's 1533-position model. The record is from RNAcentral.